UGGGGAAUAUUGCACAAUGGGCGCAAGCCUGAUGCAGCAAUGCCGCGUGAGUGAAGACGGCCUUAGGGUUGUAAAACUCUUUCGCUAGGGAAGAUAAUGACGGUACCUAGUAAAGAAGUCCCGGCUAACUCCGUGCCAGCAGCCGCGGUAAUACGGAGGGGACUAGCGUUGUUCGGAAUUACUGGGCGUAAAGAGUUCGUAGGCGGACUAGCAAGUUAGAGGUGAAAUCCCAGGGCUCAACCUUGGAACUGCCUUUAAAACUGCUAGUCUAGAGACCGGAAGAGGUUAGGGGAAUACCUAGUGUAGAGGUGAAAUUCGUAGAUAUUAGGUGGAACACCAGUGGCGAAGGCGCCUAACUGGUCCGGUACUGACGCUGAGGAACGAAAGCGUGGGGAGCAAACA
This 402-nucleotide ribosomal RNA is filed under the name uncultured bacterium. RNAcentral describes it as "bacterial SSU rRNA". It matches the Rfam family "Bacterial small subunit ribosomal RNA", at positions 355 to 774 of the family's 1533-position model. The record is from RNAcentral.